AUACAGAGGGUGCGAGCGUUAAUCGGAAUUACUGGGCGUAAAGCGCGCGUAGGCGGCUUAUUAAGUCAGAUGAGAAAUCCCCGGGCUCAACCUGGGAACUGCAUCUGAUACUGGUAAGCUAGAGUUUUGGAGAGGGAAGUAGAAUUUCAGGUGUAGCGGUGAAAUGCAUAGAGAUCUGAAGGAAUACCAGUGGCGAAGGCGACUUCCUGGCCAAAAACUGACGCUGAGGUGCGAAAGCGUGGGUAGCAAACGGGAUUAGAUACCCUAGUAGUCC
RNAcentral lists this ribosomal RNA (274 nucleotides) under uncultured bacterium. RNAcentral describes it as "partial 16S ribosomal RNA". It matches the Rfam family "Bacterial small subunit ribosomal RNA", at positions 523 to 796 of the family's 1533-position model. The record is from RNAcentral.